GAGAGAUCUUCUUGCAAAUAAUGUCUCAGGCAAAGACAUAGCAUCUUGGCUAUCUGCUAAAAUAAAAAAAUACCUAGACUCUUGGUGGAAAUUGAGUGUCAAGCUGCAAAACCUCAAAUGGCAGAUUAUCAUCAUUUAAGUCUAUCCAGAAUAGGAGAGGGUUGAGACCAUUUUUGUGAUAUUCUAGAAUAAAGCGGCAUUUUUUCAAAAUGAUUUUGCCUUUAAGGGAGCUUGUAAUAACAGCUUAAGAAAUCUCUCUUUGUGCUUCAAAAUCAUGCAUUGUCUGCCCUCUGCUAGGACAACCAUAAGAGUUCAUUGAGAGGACAAAUUUUCUAUCUCAUUAGUUUUUUUUUUAAGGUAAACCUUACUAACCCCUCAAACCCUUGACCUUUAAAGACAGUAUUUUGUGUAAGCUCUGUAUUUCUCCUGUUAUGAUGACCUUUACACAUGCUCUCCUGCUCUCUCCAUCU
This 470-nucleotide long non-coding RNA is filed under the name Heterocephalus glaber (naked mole-rat). Its description in RNAcentral is "lncRNA (ENSHGLG00100044984.1)". Lineage: Eukaryota; Metazoa; Chordata; Mammalia; Rodentia; Bathyergidae. The record is from RNAcentral.